RNAcentral lists this transfer RNA (84 nucleotides) under bacterium. RNAcentral's name for it is "tRNA-Leu". It matches the Rfam family "tRNA". Rfam says of the family: Transfer RNA (tRNA) molecules are approximately 80 nucleotides in length. Their secondary structure includes four short double-helical elements and three loops (D, anti-codon, and T loops). The record is from RNAcentral.
GCCGGGGUGGUGAAAUUGGUAGACGCACUGGAUUCAAAAUCCAGCGGACUUCGGUCCAUGAGAGUUCGAUUCUCUCCCCCGGCA